RNAcentral lists this ribosomal RNA (582 nucleotides) under Cladosporium cladosporioides. RNAcentral's name for it is "partial large subunit ribosomal RNA". It matches the Rfam family "Eukaryotic large subunit ribosomal RNA", at positions 55 to 658 of the family's 3401-position model. The record is from RNAcentral. Lineage: Eukaryota; Fungi; Ascomycota; Dothideomycetes; Cladosporiales; Cladosporiaceae.
GGAAAAGAAACCAACAGGGAUUGCUCUAGUAACGGCGAGUGAAGCAGCAAUAGCUCAAAUUUGAAAUCUGGCGUCUUCGACGUCCGAGUUGUAAUUUGUAGAGGAUGCUUCUGAGUAACCACCGACCUAAGUUCCUUGGAACAGGACGUCAUAGAGGGUGAGAAUCCCGUAUGCGGUCGGAAAGGUGCUCUAUACGUAGCUCCUUCGACGAGUCGAGUUGUUUGGGAAUGCAGCUCUAAAUGGGAGGUAAAUUUCUUCUAAAGCUAAAUAUUGGCCAGAGACCGAUAGCGCACAAGUAGAGUGAUCGAAAGAUGAAAAGCACUUUGGAAAGAGAGUUAAAAAGCACGUGAAAUUGUUAAAAGGGAAGGGAUUGCAACCAGACUUGCUCGCGGUGUUCCGCCGGUCUUCUGACCGGUCUACUCGCCGCGUUGCAGGCCAGCAUCGUCUGGUGCCGCUGGAUAAGACUUGAGGAAUGUAGCUCCUUCGGGAGUGUUAUAGCCUCUUGUGAUGCAGCGAGCGCCGGGCGAGGUCCGCGCUUCGGCUAGGAUGCUGGCGUAAUGGUCGUAAUCCGCCCGUCUUGAA